ACGAACGCUGGCGGCGUGCUUAACACAUGCAAGUCGAACGGAAAGGCCCUGCUUGCAGAGUACUCGAGUGGCGAACGGGUGAGUAACACGUGGGUGAUCUGCCCUGCACUUCGGGAUAAGCCUGGGAAACUGGGUCUAAUACCGGAUAGGAGCCAUUUUUAGUGUGAUGGUUGGAAAGUUUUUUCGGUGUAGGAUGAGCUCGCGGCCUAUCAGCUUGUUGGUGGGGUAAUGGCCUACCAAGGCGGCGACGGGUAGCCGGCCUGAGAGGGUGGACGGCCACAUUGGGACUGAGAUACGGCCCAGACUCCUACGGGAGGCAGCAGUGGGGAAUAUUGCACAAUGGGCGCAAGCCUGAUGCAGCGACGCCGCGUGGGGGAUGACGGCCUUCGGGUUGUAAACUCCUUUCGCUAGGGACGAAGCUUUUUGUGACGGUACCUAGAUAAGAAGCACCGGCUAACUACGUG
Molecule: ribosomal RNA, 464 nt
Filed under: uncultured bacterium
Lineage: Bacteria
Description: partial 16S ribosomal RNA
Rfam family: Bacterial small subunit ribosomal RNA
Source: RNAcentral